Molecule: transfer RNA, 57 nt
Filed under: Liposcelis entomophila
Lineage: Eukaryota; Metazoa; Arthropoda; Insecta; Psocodea; Liposcelididae
Description: tRNA-Thr
Source: RNAcentral
AAAAUUUGAAUUUUUUUUUUAAAAUUAUCAACAUGUAAUUGAUUAUAAAUAAGUUUA